RNAcentral lists this long non-coding RNA (245 nucleotides) under Elaeis guineensis (African oil palm). RNAcentral describes it as "long non-coding RNA (EGUI_LNC058156)". The record is from RNAcentral. Lineage: Eukaryota; Viridiplantae; Streptophyta; Magnoliopsida; Arecales; Arecaceae.
UUACCUAUAGGAUGUUAUAAAAAUAUUGUAGUAUAUAAAUUUAUGAUAUCCUAUCCAAAUUAAGACAUCUUGGAUUAAAAUUAUGACAUCCGACAAUAUCCAUAGGUCCAAAUUAUGACAUCCUGAAAUAGAGAAGUCUUGAAAUGCAGAACUAUGACAUGCUGGAUCGAAAAUUAAACCAUAAUGUCAUAAUUUUAAUCAAAAAAAUUAUAAUUUUAAUCCUCCCUUGGUACAAUUAAGGAGGU